UACAGAGGUCUCAAGCGUUGUUCGGAAUUACUGGGCGUAAAGGGUGCGCAGGCCGCGCGGGUAGUCAAAUGUGUAAUCCAGGGGCUCAACCCCCGAACUGCGCUUGAUACUUCCGUGCUAGAACUUUGGAGAGGAGUCUGGAAUUCUCGGUGUAGCAGUGAAAUGCGUGGAUAUCGAGAGGAACACUUAGGGCGAAGGCAAGACUCUGGACAAAUGUUGACGCUCAUGCACGAAGGCUAGGGUAGCGAACGGG
This 253-nucleotide ribosomal RNA is filed under the name uncultured bacterium. RNAcentral's name for it is "partial 16S ribosomal RNA". It matches the Rfam family "Bacterial small subunit ribosomal RNA", at positions 524 to 776 of the family's 1533-position model. The record is from RNAcentral.